Molecule: long non-coding RNA, 1275 nt
Filed under: Nicotiana tabacum (common tobacco)
Lineage: Eukaryota; Viridiplantae; Streptophyta; Magnoliopsida; Solanales; Solanaceae
Description: long non-coding RNA (NTAB_LNC015064)
Source: RNAcentral
AGUAGCAAUAAAAUGUAAAAAUGAUGUAGUGCAUUAACUAAGCAUGUACUACAGUCAAUCAUUAAUAAGCAGUAGAAGUAGAAAUCAAACUAGGAAAAAAUGAAAGGUUUGGCAUCUGGCGACAGAUAAAUAAAGCAAAGUAGCAGAAGCAGAGCAGCUAGACGACCUCUAGAAAAGAUGAUCGCUAUCUAAAAAGUAAGACCCUAAUAUCCAGUCAUUUUCUUUACAAGAAAAUCGAGAUUUAUGUUUUUCUGUCAACUCAAAGGUCUAUAAGCUGUAUGAUAUUCAGCCCCACUCAAAACUGAGGUGUCUACUUUCCUUGAACCAAAUGAGAAUCAGUGAUAAGCAUCCAGUCAGUUAUAGAAAGACGAUGAAAUGUCUAAAAUUUGUUAAUGUCUCGACAAGAACUCACUUCUAAGCAAUUAAUCUCCAGUACUUUUGCUAAGGCCUGCUACCUCAUAUAUGGUAUUUCCUCUAUAGAAAAUGAGGGCACAGAAGCCCUUUUAUAAUGCUUUGAUCCAUUUCAUACUGCAUUCUCACUAACCAAGCUCUCACUCUCUGCUCACAACUAGAAGAGCUCAAAGAGAAGUUUUUUCUCAAUUAUAAAUGAGCCAGCACCUUUAUGCAGUAACUUGAUUUUUCUCUCAUUAUAUCCACAUAAGAGCAUCCGUCAUUAAUCCACUUAUAAAACAUAGCAUUAUAAAGAAAUCAAAGUAUCAAUUGCAAUUAAAUCAGUGUUAUCAAAGGCGCUUAAAGUGCGCUUAAGCCCUGAAGCGAGACUCAAAAUAUGUUGAGCGCUUCGCCUCGCUUAAUGGGCGCUUCAGUGUUGUCAUCAAGGCCACUAUAUGCUUUGCUUACUAACCAUAAGCAAAUUUCCCAAAGGAGAUAAUCAAGGAACUACUUACAGAUAGGCAUAUGUGACAUAAUUCAUCGAGUCCGUAAACUAAGUAGUUGCACAAACCUAUUGCUCAGGUAUUGCAAAAUGAGGUUGAUCACCCUAUCGGGCAAGCGCUUCAGUGUUGUCAUCAAGGCCACUAUAUGCUUUGCUUACUAACCAUAAGCAAAUUUCCCAAAGGAGAUAAUCAAGGAACUACUUACAGAUAGGCAUAUGUGACAUAAUUCAUCGAGUCCGUAAACUAAGUAGUUGCACAAACCUAUUGCUCAGGUAUUGCAAAAUGAGGUUGAUCACCCUAUCGGGCAAGUAACCACCAGCACGUAUAACAUUUAACAAAUUAAGGUGGCACUCCAGAAUUUUCCCCGCAUAACCCUUCUGAA